AUUGAACGCUGGCGGCAUGCCUUACACAUGCAAGUCGAACGGUAACAGGUCUUCGGAUGCUGACGAGUGGCGAACGGGUGAGUAAUACAUCGGAACGUGCCCAGACGUGGGGGAUAACGAGGCGAAAGCUUUGCUAAUACCGCAUACGAUCUAAGGAUGAAAGCAGGGGACCGCAAGGCCUUGCGCGUUUGGAGCGGCCGAUGGCAGAUUAGGUAGUUGGUGGGAUAAAAGCUUACCAAGCCGACGAUCUGUAGCUGGUCUGAGAGGACGACCAGCCACACUGGGACUGAGACACGGCCCAGACUCCUACGGGAGGCAGCAGUGGGGAAUUUUGGACAAUGGGCGAAAGCCUGAUCCAGCAAUGCCGCGUGCAGGAUGAAGGCCUUCGGGUUGUAAACUGCUUUUGUACGGAACGAAAAGGCUCUGGCUAAUACCUGGGGCACAUGACGGUACCGUAAGAAUAAGCACCGGCUAACUACGUGCCAGCAGCCGCGGUAAUACGUAGGGUGCGAGCGUUAAUCGGAAUUACUGGGCGUAAAGCGUGCGCAGGCGGUUUCGUAAGACAGAGGUGAAAUCCCCGGGCUCAACCUGGGAACUGCCUUUGUGACUGCAAAGCUGGAGUGCGGCAGAGGGGGAUGGAAUUCCGCGUGUAGCAGUGAAAUGCGUAGAUAUGCGGAGGAACACCGAUGGCGAAGGCAAUCCCCUGGGCCUGCACUGACGCUCAUGCACGAAAGCGUGGGGAGCAAACAGG
RNAcentral lists this ribosomal RNA (751 nucleotides) under uncultured Comamonadaceae bacterium. RNAcentral's name for it is "bacterial SSU rRNA". It matches the Rfam family "Bacterial small subunit ribosomal RNA", at positions 28 to 776 of the family's 1533-position model. The record is from RNAcentral. Lineage: Bacteria; Pseudomonadati; Pseudomonadota; Betaproteobacteria; Burkholderiales; Comamonadaceae.